RNAcentral lists this RNase P RNA (391 nucleotides) under Peribacillus asahii. RNAcentral describes it as "RNase P RNA component class B". It matches the Rfam family "Bacterial RNase P class B". From Rfam's summary of the family: Ribonuclease P (RNase P) is a ubiquitous endoribonuclease, found in archaea, bacteria and eukarya as well as chloroplasts and mitochondria. Its best characterised activity is the generation of mature 5'-ends of tRNAs by cleaving the 5'-leader elements of precursor-tRNAs. Cellular RNase Ps are ribonucleoproteins. The record is from RNAcentral. Lineage: Bacteria; Bacillati; Bacillota; Bacilli; Caryophanales; Bacillaceae.
AAUGGUGAGUAGUCGCGGCUCAUGGUUUACAUGAGUUGAGGAAAGUCCAGGCUCGCCCGGCGCUGAGAUGCCCGGAGUGUUCUUGCCAUCUGUAAAGGUGGGCAGCAGACUUCGUAUCUGCUGACGGCGGAGAAAUCAUGCUAAGUCCAAAAAGGAUAUGCUGAGAGUAACCUUAAAGUGCCACAGUGACGAAUUCUUCUGGAAACGGAAGAAGUGGAACGAGGUAAACCCCAAGAGCGAGCAACCCAAAUUUAGGUAGGGGCACCAUCCAGCGGGAAUAACGAACUAAAAGGAUGGAUUGAUUGAACAAAUCAAUAGUUAUAUGACUGCACCUGGUUGUGCGAGAUUGGCAUCGUUAUUAGCACACAGGAACAAAACCUGGCUUAUAGCC